CUACGGGGGGCUGCAGUGAGGAAUAUUGGUCAAUGGGCGCGAGCCUGAACCAGCCAUCCCGCGUGCAGGAUGACGGCCCUAUGGGUUGUAAACUGCUUUUCUAUGCCAAGAAACCUGAUUACGUGUAAUCAGUUGCCGGUAGCAUAGGAAUAAGCAUCGGCUAACUCCGUGCCAGCAGCCGCGGUAAUACGGAGGAUGCAAGCGUUAUCAGGAUUCAUUGGGUUUAAAGGGUGCGCAGGUGGGCUUGUAAGUCAGUGGUGAAAUGCUGCCGCUUAACGGUAGAACUGCCAUUGAUACUGCGAGUCUUGAGUAUGGUUGAGGUAGGCGGAAUGUGUUGUGUAGCGGUGAUAUGCAUAGAUAUGACACAGAACGCCAAUUGCGAAGGCAGCUUACUAAGCCAUUACUGACGCUGAGGCACGAAAGCGUGGGGAGCGAACAGGAUUAGAUACCCGGGUAGUC
This 459-nucleotide ribosomal RNA is filed under the name uncultured bacterium. RNAcentral's name for it is "partial 16S ribosomal RNA". It matches the Rfam family "Bacterial small subunit ribosomal RNA", at positions 339 to 795 of the family's 1533-position model. The record is from RNAcentral.